CAGCAGCCACGGGAAUACGAAGGGGGCUAGCGUUGCUCGGAAUGACUGGGCGUAAAGGGUGCGUAGGCGGUUCAGCAAGUCUCGUGUGAAAUCUUCGGGCUCAACCCGAAGUCUGCACGGGAAACUACUGGGCUUGAGUAAUGGAGAGGUGAGUGGAAUUUCCGGUGUAGCGGUGAAAUGCGUAGAUAUCGGAAGGAACACCUGUGGCGAAAGCGGCUCACUGGACAAUAACUGACGCUGAUGCACGAAAGCUAGGGGAGCAAACAGGAUUAGAUACCCCUGUAGUCCCUGUCUCUUAUAC
RNAcentral lists this ribosomal RNA (301 nucleotides) under uncultured bacterium. Its description in RNAcentral is "partial 16S ribosomal RNA". It matches the Rfam family "Bacterial small subunit ribosomal RNA", at positions 509 to 807 of the family's 1533-position model. The record is from RNAcentral.